CCGGAAAUAGCAGAGACGUGGGCCAUGAUCACUUUUUUUUUUUUUUUUUUUUUUUUUUUUUUUUAGUGUUCAGCAAAUUUCAAAGACUGGGAGGGGUGGGGCAUAUUCCUAAGAAAGAGGAAACAGGGACAUGGAGGAAAUGAAACAGUGAAAGGGGAGGACUUAAGGAAGGGAUAAAGAAAGGGGCCUAUCAAAGGAUAGCCAACUUCCCCAGGCCUGUCUUGUCCCCAGUCACCAAGGCAGUGAUGCAGUGUAUCUCUGUGAGGGAAUAAGGUAACUAAGCUAACACCACAAUGACUGUCCUCCCUCUCUCUUACUCUCAACAUGCUGAGUUCUCUGAGAACUGCUUACCCCUCUCCAAGGAUGAAGAUGUGUGAUAUACUUACAGAGGGACCUGUAUCAGAAACUCAGGGAAAGCAAAGAGGGAUUAAUUGCCUUUUUUUCUUCCAGGACACCAAGCAGCUUGGUUCUGUGGACAAUGAGGCUUCAUGACUACCUGCAAACAACUAUGGGUGACAAGGUUACAAGGAUUUUCUACUUGUGGAUUUCAAUUCAACUGGAAAGACACCUCCUCAGGUCUCCCUACACUGCUGGAGUGGUUCUGCCAGCAUCUUCUAUCUUCCCAUCGUUGCCCUGGAUACCUGCCCAGUUCUCAUCCCCCACCUUCAAGAGAAGGCCGUAACCUUAGGCCUGGAACUGGAACUGGAGAGGAACCAAUGAGGCAAGGCCGGCAUAGCUUCAAGGAAUGAAGUCUGGGAAUGAAAAGAAAUCAGCUGCCCGGAAGCAAAUUGGCUGACUCUAACGAAGUUAAUCCAUGGAUAUUUGAUGAAGUCCAAACUAUCAUUAUAACUGUAAGUAUUUCAGCCCUAAGCAAUUUUCUGAUAACCUGGACAGAAGGGGAGUGAGUCAGGAUGGAUUUACUUCUAGAGCUAUGUAUGAGGGUGCAGGUUGGAGAAGGUCAAAGCCAGUCUGGGCUCCAUAUAAGUUCAGGGUGUGCUUUAACUGUAUAAUGAAACCCUGUCUCUAAUCUCUCAUAAGAAAACACAGACC
Molecule: long non-coding RNA, 1050 nt
Filed under: Rattus norvegicus (Norway rat)
Lineage: Eukaryota; Metazoa; Chordata; Mammalia; Rodentia; Muridae
Description: long non-coding RNA NONRATT033854
Source: RNAcentral